RNAcentral lists this ribosomal RNA (253 nucleotides) under uncultured bacterium. RNAcentral describes it as "partial 16S ribosomal RNA". It matches the Rfam family "Bacterial small subunit ribosomal RNA", at positions 524 to 776 of the family's 1533-position model. The record is from RNAcentral.
UACGAAGGGGGCUAGCGUUGUUCGGAUUUACUGGGCGUAAAGCGCACGUAGGCGGUUUGUUAAGUCAGGGGUGAAAUCCCAGAGCUCAACUCUGGAACUGCCUUUGAUACUGGCAAGCUAGAGUCCGGAAGAGGUAAGUGGAACUCCUAGUGUAGAGGUGGAAUUCGUAGAUAUUCGCAAGAACACCAGUGGCGAAGGCGGCUCACUGGCCCGGUACUGACGCUGAGGUGCGAAAGCGUGGGGAGCAAACAGG